Eriocheir sinensis (Chinese mitten crab) is the source of this 1773-nucleotide long non-coding RNA. RefSeq lists it as uncharacterized. The transcript has 3 exons. Lineage: Eukaryota; Metazoa; Arthropoda; Malacostraca; Decapoda; Varunidae. The record is from RefSeq and is a predicted model, not a curated record.
AAUUGUAGUAGCUGUAGUAAUUAUUUAAGUAAUAGUAGUAGUGGUUGUAGUAGGGGGUGGGUUGUAGAAGUAAGGGUUGUGGGGUCAGGAAUAGUAGGUUCAAGAGCGUGCUGAUUCUUGUAGUGAUAGUUAUAGUGGUCUAAGUAGUCGUAGUAAUGAUAUAAGUAGUAGUAGUAGUAGUAGUAGUAGUAGUAGGUGGGUUUUAGUAGUAAGGGUUGUGGGGUCAGAAAUAGUAGGUUCAAGAGGGUGCUAAUUCUUGUAGUGAUACUUAUAGUGGUCUAAGUAGUCGUAGUAAUGAUAUAAGUAGUAGUAGUAGUAGUAGUAGGGGGUAGGUUGUAGAAGUAAGGGUUGUGGGGUCAGGAAUAGUAGGUUUAAGAGCGUGCUGAUUCUUGUAGUGAUAUUUAUAGUGGUCUAAGUAGUCGUAGUAGUGAUUUAAGUAGUAGUAGUAGUAGUAGUAGGGGGUAGGUUGUAGAAGUAAGGGUUGUGGGGUCAGGAAUAGUAGGUUUAAGAGCGUGCUGAUUCUUGUGGUGAUACUUAUAGUGGUCUAAGUAGUUGUAGUAAUGAUAUAAGUAGUCGUAGUAAUGAUAUAAGUAGUAGUAGUAGUAGGGGGUAGGUUUUAGUAGUAAGGGUUGUGGGGUCAGGAAUAGUAGGUUCAAGAGGGUGCUGAUUCUUGUAGUGAUAGUUAUAGUGGUCUAAGUAGUCGUAGUAGUGAUUUAAGUAGUAGUAGUAGUAGGGGGUAGGUUUUAGUAGUAAGGGUUGUGGGGUCAGGAAUAGUAGGUUCAAGAGGGUGCUGAUUCUUGUAGUGAUAGUUAUAGUGGUCUAAGUAGUCGUAGUAGUGAUUUAAGUAGUAGUAGUAGUAGUAGUAGUAGGGGGUAGGUUUUAGAAGUAAAGGUUGUGGGGUCAGGAAUAGUAGGUUCAAGAGCAUGCUGAUUCUUGUAGUGAUACUUAUAGUGGUCUAAGUAGUCGUAGUAAUGAUUUAAGUAGUAGUAGUAGUAGUAGUAGUAGUAGUAGGGGGUAGGUUUUAGUAGUAAAGGUUGUGGGGUCAGGAAUAGUAGGUUUAAGAGCAUGCUGAUUCUUGUAGUGAUACUUAUAGUGGUCUAAGUAGUCGUAGUAAUGAUUUAAGUAGUAGUAGUAGUAGUAGUAGGGGGUAGGUUUUAGUAGUAAGGGUUGUGGGGUCAAGAAUAGUAGGUUUAAGAGCAUGCUGAUUCUUGUAGUGAUACUUAUAGUGGUCUAAGUAGUCGUAGUAAUGAUUUAAGUAGUAGUAGUAGUAGUAGUAGGGGGUAGGUUUUAGUAGUAAGGGUUGUGGGGUCAAGAAUAGUAGGUUUAAGAGCGUGCUGAUUCUUGUAGUGAUACUUAUAGUGGUCUAAGUAGUCGUAGUAAUGAUAUAAGUAGUAGUAGUAGUAGUAGUAGGGGGUAGGUUUUAGUAGUAAGGGUUGUGGGGUCAGGAAUGGUAGGUUUAAGAGCGUGUUGAGUCUUGUAGUGAUACAUAUAGUGGUCUAAGUAGUCGUAGUAAUGAUUUAAGUAGUAGUAGUAGUAGUAGUAGUAGUAGUAGUAGUAGUAGUAGGGCUUGGGUUGUAGAAUUAAGGGUUAUGGGGUGAAUAGUAAUAGUCUCUCUCUCUCUCUCUCUCUCUCUCAAAAUCAAUUUAAAUCAGAGUAAAAAAAUCAUAAUUCAAAUUAAAAUCAAAUAUACUGUUUUUAAAAUGAUGAAAGUGUUAUAUAUAUAUCUAACAAUUUAAAUUAUACAUAUAUAUACUUCAAAAUCUGAAGUGCGGU